Molecule: ribosomal RNA, 497 nt
Filed under: uncultured bacterium
Lineage: Bacteria
Description: partial 16S ribosomal RNA
Rfam family: Bacterial small subunit ribosomal RNA
Source: RNAcentral
GAUGAACGCUGGCGGCGUGCCUAAUACAUGCAAGUCGAGCGAACGGACGAGAAGCUUGCUUUUCUGAUGUUAGCGGCGGACGGGUGAGUAACACGUGGAUAACCUACCUAUAAGACUGGGAUAACUUCGGGAAACCGGAGCUAAUACCGGAUAAUAUUUUGAACCGCAUGGUUCAAAAGUGAAAGACGGUCUUGCUGUCACCUAUAGAUGGAUCCGCGCUGCAUUAGCUAGUUGGUAAGGUAACGGCUUACCAAGGCAACGAUGCAUAGCCGACCUGAGAGGGUGAACGGCCACACUGGAACUGAGACACGGUCCCGACUCCUACGGGAGGCAGCAGUAGGGAAUCUUCCGAAAUGGGCGAAAGCCUGACGGAGCAACGCCGGGUGAGGGAUGAAGGUCUUCGGAUCGUAAAACUCUGUUAUUAGGGAAGAACAUAUGUGUAAGUAACUGUGCACAUCUUGACGGUACCUAAUAAGAAAGCCACGGCUAACUACGUG